This 1701-nucleotide ribosomal RNA is filed under the name Triticum aestivum (bread wheat). Its description in RNAcentral is "partial small subunit ribosomal RNA". Lineage: Eukaryota; Viridiplantae; Streptophyta; Magnoliopsida; Poales; Poaceae. The record is from RNAcentral.
UACCACCGGUUCUACGCCGUCGGGGUACGAGACAAGGCUACCCGGAGGAGACGAGCUACCAACUGCGACCAACUCAAACCAUGCCAAAGGACAACAACGAACACAGCUCGGUACCCAGGCAGAGAGGAAGCGUGACUCGCAUUAAGAGGACAGCGACCGCGAAGAAGAAGAGCAGGCAGGACGACGAAUGGUUUCACGAAGACGAACGACGGAGUCCAACAUGCUAGAGAAGACAGUGACAGUAAGCUGAGUAAUUCCCACACAUACGAACAAAGGCAACAAUAUGGACAAAACCUCCGACACCCAUCGAGCUACGCGAAACGGCAGGGAAAGUAUAGACACACAUCAGCCUCCUACCGAGACAAGAACGACCACAUCUUGAGCUCGAGGGUACCCUGUCUAGACCAGGAUACCUCUUCGAACUACUUGUUCGGCUCCGUUCGAGACCACCAUUUCGACUUUGAAGUAGUGGAUGACAACUUCUUUUCCUACUACUGUUACUGGUCCGAGUUCACUGGUCUUUGUUUUCUUACUUCACCGUUCGUAUCUUCUUUACGUCUCGGUCAAAGGGAGCCUAUGUCACAUAAUGUGACUCAGACUCCUAUGUGUUGUCAGAUAACUCCAAUUAACUAAGUAACUGCUGUGGCAGUUGGCUUUGACGUUAACACGUAAGUCAAUGUUCAUCACACGAACUUAAACUCCUACACCUGCUUCUUAAACUACUUAGGCAGCUAAUACUGCGUUACAAACAACUUCUUGUACAACUUUAAUGCCUACUUCUCCUUCGACGCCUACUUCCUCUACUUCUCCUUCUACUCCUACUCCUACUCCUACCUCUCCUUCUGCCCCUACUCCUACUUCUCCUUCUACCUCGACUCCUUCCUGUACGUCAACCAAGAUUCUCUUUCGAGUGUAGUUAACAGACCCAACUAAAGUUCUUUCACUUCCAGGCACCCUCUACCUUCCGUGUUACAGAAGUAACAUUCUUCUUUGAACCUCCCCUUAGUUUCUUACCCUGUUUCGUAGAAGUACAAGUAAACCACCGAACAUGAUAAACUCGGUUAGAAGAAACUCCAAGUCAAGAUCAUCGGUACCUUUUCAAAGCCACCUCUUGAUAUGAAAAUUGGUUCAAAAACAAUCUUUCUACGAACGAAGGUACUAACACGACGUACUCAUGAGGAAUAGGUAUCAACUAGUAUGCCCCAAAAUUUCUAAACAAUCACGUAACGUUUGGAACAAAUGAUACCACUGUUCUUUGUGAUAAUCCUCCCUAUAAAACCUGCGAAUGUUUCAACUUUCCUUCUUCCGAUAGCUCAUCUACCGACGUUUAGCUAGUUCCCACCGAUAGUGAUGACUAAAUACCUGCCGACCGUUAGUUUUCUUUCCUACGUACCUUUAGUGCCCGGUAAAGUAACUACUGAGAACCUUUUAAUCCUCACAAUAGUACUCCAUAUACUACAAUAAAAUAGCUAUCAACAAAAACAUCAUGCAAGAAACGACAACAAAAAUAACUAUAAACUACAACAUCAUGUAACAAACCACAACAAAAUAGCUAUAAACGACAACAUCAUGUAACAAACCACAACAAAAAUAAUUAUAAACGACCACAUCAUGUAACAACCACAACAAACAUAGAUAUCAACAACAACAUCAUGUAAGAAACCACAACAAGAAUAACUAUAAACGACGACAUCAUGUAAC